AGAGUUUGAUCCUGGCUCAGGAUAAACGCUGGCGGCGUGCUUUAUGCAUGCAAGUCGAACGAGCUACUUUCGGGUAGCUAGUGGCAAACGGGUGAGUAACACGUAAGUAACCUGCCCUUAAGUGGGGAAUAACUCCGGGAAACCGGAGUUAAUACCGCAUGUGGUGUUAGAGGUAAGGCUCUACCACUAAAGCCUUACGGCGCUUAUGGAGGGGCUUGCGUCCGAUUAGCUAGUUGGUAGGGUAAUGGUCUACCAAGGCGAUGAUCGGUAGCUGGUCUGAGAGGACGGUCAGCCACAUUGGGACUGAGACACGGCCCAGACUCCUACGGGAGGCAGCAGCAAGGAAUUUUGUGCAAUGGGCGAAAGCCUGACACAGCGACGCCGCGUGGGGGAUGAAGACCUUCGGGUUGUAAACUCCUUUUCUCAGGGAGGAAUAAUGACAGUACCUGAGGAAUAAGCCACGGCUAACUACGUGCCAGCAGCCGCGGUAAUACGUAGGUGGCGAGCGUUAUCCGGAUUUAUUGGGCGUAAAGAGGGCGCAGACGGUUUUCCAAGUCGGAUGUAAAAUCUCCCAGCUUAACUGGGAGAGACCAUUCGAUACUGUUAAACUUGAGGACAACAGAGGGAGGUAGAAUUCCCGGUGUAGUGGUGAAAUGCGUAGAUAUCGGGAGGAAUACCAGUGGCGAAGGCGGCCUCCUGGGUUGUUUCUGACGUUUAAGCCCGAAGGUGUGGGGAGCGAACAGGAUUAGAUACCCUGGUAGUCC
RNAcentral lists this ribosomal RNA (764 nucleotides) under uncultured bacterium. RNAcentral describes it as "bacterial SSU rRNA". It matches the Rfam family "Bacterial small subunit ribosomal RNA", at positions 8 to 796 of the family's 1533-position model. The record is from RNAcentral.